Molecule: ribosomal RNA, 279 nt
Filed under: uncultured bacterium
Lineage: Bacteria
Description: partial 16S ribosomal RNA
Rfam family: Bacterial small subunit ribosomal RNA
Source: RNAcentral
UGCCAGCCGCCGCGGUAAUACGGAGGGGGUUAGCGUUGUUCGGAAUCACUGGGCAUAAAGCGCACGUAGGCGGCCUACUAAGUCAGGUGUGAAAGCCCUCGGCUCAACCGGGGAAUUGCAUCCGAUACUGGUAGGCUCGAGGAUGGUUGGGGUGAGUGGAACUCCUGGUGGAGCGGUGAAAUGCGUAGAUAUCAGGAGGAACACCAGUGGCGAAAGCGGCUCACUGGACCAUCUCCGACGCUGAGGUGCGAAAGCUAGGGGAGCGAACGGGAUUAGAUA